AGAAACGUAGGUUAAACAAACCCGUGGCCUUCAAAGCCACAAAUGCAGGUCCACAUCCUGCAGUUUCUG
Molecule: transfer RNA, 69 nt
Filed under: Pristurus carteri
Lineage: Eukaryota; Metazoa; Chordata; Lepidosauria; Squamata; Sphaerodactylidae
Description: tRNA-Trp
Rfam family: tRNA
About the family: Transfer RNA (tRNA) molecules are approximately 80 nucleotides in length. Their secondary structure includes four short double-helical elements and three loops (D, anti-codon, and T loops). Further hydrogen bonds mediate the characteristic L-shaped molecular structure. tRNAs have two regions of fundamental functional importance: the anti-codon, which is responsible for specific mRNA codon recognition, and the 3' end, to which the tRNAs corresponding amino acid is attached (by aminoacyl-tRNA synthetases). tRNAs cope with the degeneracy of the genetic code in two manners: having more than one tRNA (with a specific anti-codon) for a particular amino acid; and 'wobble' base-pairing, i.e. permitting non-standard base-pairing at the 3rd anti-codon position.
Source: RNAcentral